This 440-nucleotide ribosomal RNA is filed under the name uncultured bacterium. Its description in RNAcentral is "partial 16S ribosomal RNA". It matches the Rfam family "Bacterial small subunit ribosomal RNA", at positions 342 to 795 of the family's 1533-position model. The record is from RNAcentral.
CGGGAGGCAGCAGCAGUGAGGAAUAUUGCACAAUGGGGGGAACCCUGAUGCAGCAACGCCGCGUGGAGGAUGACGCAUUUCGGUGUGUAAACUCCUUUUAUAUGUCAAGAAAAUGACGGUAGCAUAUGAAUAAGCACCGGCUAACUCCGGUGCCAGCAGCCGCGGUAAUACGGAGGGUGCAAGCGUUACUCGGAAUCACUGGGCGUAAAGGACGCGUAGGCGGGCUGGAAAGCCAGGUGUGAAAUCCUACAGCUUAACUGUAGAACUGCACUUGAAACUUCUAAUCUAGAGUAUGGGAGGGGGAGAUGGAAUUAGUGGUGUAGGGGUAAAAUCCGUAGAUAUCACUAGGAAUACCUAAAGCGAAGGCGAUCUCCUGGAACAUUACUGACGCUAAGGCGUGAAAGCGUGGGGAGCAAACAGGAUUAGAUACCCCUGUAGUC